This 21-nucleotide non-coding RNA is filed under the name Mus musculus (house mouse). Lineage: Eukaryota; Metazoa; Chordata; Mammalia; Rodentia; Muridae. The record is from RNAcentral.
CCCACCUGUGAUGCUGGCCUG